GCACGGGUACCCAAGCGGCCAAAGGGAACGGGUUUAGGACCCGUUGGCUCAGUGCCUUCGCAGGUUCGAAUCCUGUCCCGUGCA
RNAcentral lists this transfer RNA (84 nucleotides) under Candidatus Iainarchaeum sp. Its description in RNAcentral is "tRNA-Leu". It matches the Rfam family "tRNA". From Rfam's summary of the family: Transfer RNA (tRNA) molecules are approximately 80 nucleotides in length. The record is from RNAcentral. Lineage: Archaea; Nanobdellati; Candidatus Iainarchaeota; Candidatus Iainarchaeia; Candidatus Iainarchaeales; Candidatus Iainarchaeaceae.